UACAGAGACCGCAAGCGUUAUUCGGAUUCACUGGGCGUAAAGGGUGCGCAGGCGGCCAAGUGUGUUAGGCGUGAAAGCCUGGGGCUUAACCCCAGAAUUGCACCUAAAACUACAUGGCUAGAGCAUUGGAGAGGGUAGCGGAAUUCACGGUGUAGCAGUGAAAUGCGUAGAUAUCGUGAGGAACACCAGAGGCGAAGGCGGCUACCUGGACAAUUGCUGACGCUCAGGCACGAAAGCGUGGGGAGCAAAAGGG
This 253-nucleotide ribosomal RNA is filed under the name uncultured bacterium. RNAcentral describes it as "partial 16S ribosomal RNA". It matches the Rfam family "Bacterial small subunit ribosomal RNA", at positions 524 to 776 of the family's 1533-position model. The record is from RNAcentral.